This 274-nucleotide ribosomal RNA is filed under the name uncultured bacterium. RNAcentral describes it as "partial 16S ribosomal RNA". It matches the Rfam family "Bacterial small subunit ribosomal RNA", at positions 523 to 796 of the family's 1533-position model. The record is from RNAcentral.
AUACAGAGGCUGCGAGCGUUAAUCGGAAUUACUGGGCGUAAAGCGCGCGUAGGCGGCUUGGUCAGUCGGAUGUGAAAGCCCCGGGCUCAACCUGGGAAUGGCAUUCGAUACUGCCAGGCUAGAGUAUGGGAGAGGGAAGUGGAAUUUCCGGUGUAGCGGUGAAAUGCGUAGAUAUCGGAAGGAACACCAGUGGCGAAGGCGACUUCCUGGCCCAAUACUGACGCUGAGGUGCGAAAGCGUGGGGAGCGAACAGGAUUAGAUACCCUAGUAGUCC